GAUGAACGCUGGCGGCGUGCCUAAUACAUGCAAGUCGAGCGAACAGACGAGGAGCUUGCUCCUUCGACGUUAGCGGCGGACGGGUGAGUAACACGUAGGUAACCUACCUAUAAGACUGGGAUAACUUCGGGAAACCGGAGCUAAUACCGGAUAAUAUUUCGAACCGCAUGGUUCGAUAGUGAAAGAUGGCUUUGCUAUCACUUAUAGAUGGACCUGCGCCGUAUUAGCUAGUUGGUAAGGUAACGGCUUACCAAGGCAACGAUACGUAGCCGACCUGAGAGGGUGAUCGGCCACACUGGAACUGAGACACGGUCCAGACUCCUACGGGAGGCAGCAGUAGGGACUCUUCCGCAAUGGGCGAAAGCCUGACGGAGCAACGCCGCGUGAGUGAUGAAGGUCUUCGGAUCGUAAAACUCUGUUAUUAGGGAAGAACAAACGUGUAAGUAACUGUGCACGUCUUGACGGUACCUAAUCAGAAAGCCACGGCUAACUACGUG
This 497-nucleotide ribosomal RNA is filed under the name uncultured bacterium. RNAcentral's name for it is "partial 16S ribosomal RNA". It matches the Rfam family "Bacterial small subunit ribosomal RNA", at positions 28 to 507 of the family's 1533-position model. The record is from RNAcentral.